RNAcentral lists this ribosomal RNA (799 nucleotides) under uncultured archaeon. RNAcentral's name for it is "bacterial SSU rRNA". It matches the Rfam family "Archaeal small subunit ribosomal RNA", at positions 85 to 879 of the family's 1478-position model. The record is from RNAcentral.
ACGGCUCAGUAACACGUCGAUAACGUUCCGUGAAGUCUGGAAUAACCUUGGGAAACUGAGGAUAAUACCGGAUCGGGAACAAUGUGUGGAAUCCUAUUGUUCCAGAAAGCUUCGGCGCUUCACGAUCGGUCGGCGGCCCAUCAGGUAGUUGGUGAGGUAAUGGCUCACCAAGCCUAAGACGGGUAGGGGCCUUGAGAGAGGUUGCCCCGAGAGGGACACUGAGAUACUGGUCCCAGCCCUAAGGGGUGCAGCAGUCGCUGAAAACUUCACAAUGCGCUGAAAGCGUGAUGAGGGGAUUCUGAGUGCUUACGGUUUAACUGUAGGCUUUUCGUUAGGGUAAAUACCUAGCGGAAUAAGUGGUGGGCAAGACUGGUGCCAGCCGCCGCGGUAACCCCAGCGCCACAAGUGGGAACCACGCUUAUUGGGUUUAAAGCAUCCGUAGCCUGUUCGGCAAAUGCCCUGUGAAAUCGUUGUGCUCAACACAACGACGUGCAGGGUAGACUACCGAACUAGAGACCAGAGGAAGUUGACGGUAUUCCUGAGGGAGCGGUAAAAUGUGAUAAUCUCAGGAGGACCACCGAUGGCGAAGGCAGUCAACUAAUAUGGAUCUGACGGUGAGGGAUGAAAGCUAGGGGAGCGAUCCUGGAUUAGAUACCCGAGUAGUCCUAGCCGUAAACUGCUGCAUGCCAGAUGUUACACAAUCUUCGAGAUUGUGUAGUGUCGAAACGAAGGUGUUAAGCAUGCCACCUGGGAAGUACGGUCGCAAGGCUGAAACUUAAAGGAAUUGGCGGGGGAGCAC